Molecule: ribosomal RNA, 459 nt
Filed under: uncultured bacterium
Lineage: Bacteria
Description: bacterial SSU rRNA
Rfam family: Bacterial small subunit ribosomal RNA
Source: RNAcentral
AUGAACGCUGGCGGCGUGCUUAAUACAUGCAAGUCGAACGGAGACAGUAGCAAUAUUGUCUUAGUGGCGAACGGGUGAGUAACGCGUUGGUGACCUGCCCCGAAGAGGGGGAUAACAGUUCGAAAGGACUGCUAAUACCCCAUGUGGUCAUUUGGAUUAGAUGCCUUAUGACAAAACGGAUUUAUUCGCUUCGGGAGGGGCCUGCGUCCCAUCAGCUAGUUGGUAAGGUAAUGGCUUACCAAGGCGAUGACGGGUAGGGGACCUGAGAGGGUGGCCCCCCACAAUGGAACUGAAACACGGUCCAUACACCUACGGGUGGCAGCAGUAGGGAAUAUUAGUAAUGGGCGAAAGCCUGAACUAGCGACACCGCGUGUGCGAAGAAGGCCUUCGGGUUGUAAAGCACUUUUAGAGAGGAUGAGGAAGGACGGUACUCUCUGAAUAAGUCUCGGCUAACUACGU